Molecule: ribosomal RNA, 634 nt
Filed under: uncultured organism
Description: bacterial SSU rRNA
Rfam family: Bacterial small subunit ribosomal RNA
Source: RNAcentral
CUUAUGCAUGCAAGUCGAGCGAUGAGGCUCCUUCGGGGGUACAUCAGCGGCAGACGGGUGAGUAACACGUAGGUGACCUACCCUCGAGACGGGGAUAACGGGUGGGAACAGUCGCUAAUACCCGAUAGACUUACCAGGUCAAAGCGGUAAGAAAAGCUACGGUGCUUGGGGAGGGGCCUGCGGCCCAUCAGCUAGUUGGUAGGGUAACGGCCUACCAAGGCGAAGACGGGUAGGGGGUGUGAGAGCACGAGCCCCCACAAUGGGACUGCGACACGGCCCAUACUCCUACGGGAGGCAGCAGCAGGGAAUAUUGCACAAUGGACGGAAGUCUGAUGCAGCGACGCCGCGUGAGUGAAGACGGCCUUCGGGUUGUAAAGCUCUUUUACGGGGGACGAGGAAGGACGGUACCCUGGGAAGAAGUGUCGGCUAACUACGUGCCAGCAGCCGCGGUAAGACGUAGGACACAAGCGUUAUCCGGAGUUACUGGGCGUAAAGCGCCUGCAGGCGGCCUGGUAAGUUGGACGUGAAAGCCCCGUGCUUAACGCGGGGAGGUCGGACAAUACUGCCAAGCUAGAGUGCGUCAGAGGGGAGUGGAAUUUCCGGAGUAGCGGUAAAAUGCGCAGAUAUCGGGAAG